Molecule: non-coding RNA, 148 nt
Organism: Gorilla gorilla gorilla (western lowland gorilla)
Lineage: Eukaryota; Metazoa; Chordata; Mammalia; Primates; Hominidae
Rfam family: Metazoan signal recognition particle RNA
About the family: The signal recognition particle (SRP) is a universally conserved ribonucleoprotein. It is involved in the co-translational targeting of proteins to membranes.
Source: Rfam
GCCAGGCACGGUGAUGUGUGCCUGUAGUCCCAGCCUCUCGGGAGGCUGAGGCAGGGGAAUCACUUGAACCCAGGAGGCAGAGGUUGCAGUGAGCUGAGAUCACGCCACUGCGCUCCAGCCUGGGCAACAGAGUGAGACUCUGCCUCAA